This 464-nucleotide ribosomal RNA is filed under the name uncultured bacterium. Its description in RNAcentral is "partial 16S ribosomal RNA". It matches the Rfam family "Bacterial small subunit ribosomal RNA", at positions 338 to 795 of the family's 1533-position model. The record is from RNAcentral.
CCUACGGGAGGCAGCAGUGGGGAAUCUUCCGCAAUGGGCGAAAGCCUGACGGAGCCAUGCCGCGUGCUCGAAUGAAGGCCUACGGGUUGUAAACAUCUGUUGUCCGGGACGAAUAAGCCAUGCGAAUAUCUUGGUGUAUGACGGUACCUGUUUAGAAAGCUCUGGCUAACUACGUGCCAGCGGGCGCGGUAAUACGUAGGGAGCAUGCGUUGUCCGGAAUUACUGGGCGUAAGGGGCGCGUAGGUGGGUGCUUAAGUCAGGUGUGAAAACUCGUGGAUCAACAUGGAGACUGCACUUGAAACUGGGUGUCUUGAGGGUAGGAGAGGAAGGUGGAAUGCCUGGUGUAGCGGUGAAAUGCGUAGAUAUUAGGAAGAACACCGGUGGCGAAGGCGACUUUCUAGACUGUACCUGACGCUGAGGCGCGAAAGCGUGGGUAGCGAACGGGAUUAGAUACCCGGGUAGUC